RNAcentral lists this long non-coding RNA (283 nucleotides) under Monodelphis domestica (gray short-tailed opossum). RNAcentral describes it as "lncRNA (ENSMODG00000046839.1)". Lineage: Eukaryota; Metazoa; Chordata; Mammalia; Didelphimorphia; Didelphidae. The record is from RNAcentral.
UGGAAGAACUGCCCUAGGACUCUUGUGGAACACCUAAGUAAUCCUGGAAUCAUUGAAGCAAGGAGUUGGAAGAAGCCUCAGGGGUCAUCUGGUAUAAUCCAAUGGAUCUGGCCUCCUUUUGUUCCUUACACAAGAUGCUCCAUUUCCUGAUGAUUCCACCUAAAAUCCAACUCCCUCAAGAACACCGAUUUUGAUAAUUGCCCUUGAAUGAAAACGACCUUCUCUACUCCUUUGACAAUGAAGUAAACAUCUGGAUCUAAUGCUUUCUGUCUCCUAAUUCCUC